AGGAUGAACGCUGGCGGUCUGCUUAACACAUGCAAGUCGAACGGAGUAGCAAUACUUAGUGGCGGACGGGUGAGUAACGCGUGAGAAUCUACCUUCAGGACGGAGACAACAGUUGGAAACGACUGCUAACCCCCGAUGUACCGAAAGGGCAAAUAUUUAUAGCCUGAAGAAGAGCUCGCGUCCGAUUAGCUAGUUGGAGAGGUAAAAGCUCACCAAGGCGACGACGGGUAGCC
This 233-nucleotide ribosomal RNA is filed under the name uncultured bacterium. Its description in RNAcentral is "partial small subunit ribosomal RNA". It matches the Rfam family "Bacterial small subunit ribosomal RNA", at positions 26 to 288 of the family's 1533-position model. The record is from RNAcentral.